GCCGGCCGUGGUCGUCGGGGUCGUCCGGGUUGAGGGCCAGGGGAUUGGCCAGGGCCAGGCAGCCGGUGAGGUUCCAGGCCUUGCGGACGGCG
Molecule: transfer RNA, 92 nt
Filed under: Verrucomicrobia bacterium ADurb.Bin063
Lineage: Bacteria; Pseudomonadati; Verrucomicrobiota
Description: tRNA-Leu
Source: RNAcentral